ACAACUUUCAGCAACGGAUCUCUUGGCUCUCGCAUCGAUGAAGAACGCAGCGAAAUGCGAUAAGUAGUGUGAAUUGCAGAAUUCAGUGAAUCAUCGAAUCUUUGAACGCACCUUGCGCUCCUUGGUAUUCCGAGGAGCAUGCCUGUUUGAGUGUCAUUA
RNAcentral lists this ribosomal RNA (159 nucleotides) under Hebeloma vinosophyllum. RNAcentral describes it as "5.8S ribosomal RNA". It matches the Rfam family "5.8S ribosomal RNA". From Rfam's summary of the family: 5.8S ribosomal RNA (5.8S rRNA) is a component of the large subunit of the eukaryotic ribosome. It is transcribed by RNA polymerase I as part of the 45S precursor that also contains 18S and 28S rRNA. Functionally, it is thought that 5.8S rRNA may be involved in ribosome translocation. The record is from RNAcentral. Lineage: Eukaryota; Fungi; Basidiomycota; Agaricomycetes; Agaricales; Hymenogastraceae.